UGGUACCCAACAUGUGGGGCUCGAGAACGGGGGAUCCAGUGAGGGAGGCUGUUUGUGAAGCCAGCACAAAGACAGAAUGGAGGGAAAACAAAAGAGGGAAAGUUUAUGUGGGAGCCUGCUGCAUUUUCUGCACCUCAGUAAAUAAACAGUGAUUAUGGGAUAGGAAAUGAGCUAACACGAGAUCUUGAUUGAAAGUUUAGAAAAGGCUCUAAAGGCACGAGGAGUAAAGGUUAAAAUUAAACAAUUGUGUCAAUAUUUUGAUUAUAUAAAAGAAGUUUGUCCUU
Cavia porcellus (domestic guinea pig) is the source of this 284-nucleotide regulatory RNA element. It matches the Rfam family "Mason-Pfizer monkey virus packaging signal". From Rfam's summary of the family: The packaging signal is located in the 5' UTR and is required for specific RNA encapsidation. The record is from Rfam. Lineage: Eukaryota; Metazoa; Chordata; Mammalia; Rodentia; Caviidae.